This 460-nucleotide ribosomal RNA is filed under the name uncultured bacterium. RNAcentral's name for it is "partial 16S ribosomal RNA". It matches the Rfam family "Bacterial small subunit ribosomal RNA", at positions 338 to 795 of the family's 1533-position model. The record is from RNAcentral.
CCUACGGGCGGCAGCAGUGAGGAAUAUUGGUCAAUGGGCGUAAGCCUGAACCAGCCAAGCCGCGUGAGGGAUGAAGGUUCUAUGGAUCGUAAACCUCUUUUAUAAGGGAAUAAAGUGCGGGACGUGUCCCGUUUUGGAAGUAUCGUAUGAAUAAGGAUCGGCUAACUCCGUGCCAGCAGCCGCGGUAAUACGGAGGAUCCGAGCGUUAUCCGGAUUUAUUGGGUGUAAAGGGUGCGUAGGCGGUCUUUUAAGUCAGAGGUGAAAGGCUGGGGCUCAACCAUGGAAUUGCCGUUGAAACUGGGCGGCUAGAGUAUGGUUGAGGCAGGCGGAAUGCGUGGUGUAGCGGUGAAAUGCUUAGAUAUCAGGCAGAACACCGAUUGCGAAGGCAGCUUGCCAAGCCAUGACUGACGCUGAGGCACGAAAGCGUGGGGAGCAAACAGGAUUAGAUACCCGAGUAGUC